Molecule: long non-coding RNA, 841 nt
Organism: Oncorhynchus tshawytscha (Chinook salmon)
Lineage: Eukaryota; Metazoa; Chordata; Actinopteri; Salmoniformes; Salmonidae
Source: Ensembl
GGGGGGCACAUGAACGCUGGUGGGCACAUGAACGCUGGUUACCCAAUGGGCUGAGAGGGGAGUGGGGGCACAUGAACGCUGGUUACCCAACGGGCUGAGAGGGGAGUGGGGGGCACAUGACCGCUGGUUACCCAAUGGGCUGAGAGGGGAGUGGGGGGCACAUGAACGCUGGUUACCCAAUGGGCUGAGAGGGGAGUGGGGGGCACAUGACCGCUGGUUACCCAAUGGGCUGAGAGGGGAGUGGGGGGCACAUGAAUGCUGGUUACCCAAUGGGCUGAGAGGGGAGUGGGGGCACAUGAACGCUGGUUACCCAACGGGCUGAGAGGGGAGUGGGGGGCACAUGAACGCUGGUUACCCAAUGGGCUGAGAGGGGAGGGAGGGGGCACAUGAAUGCUGGUUACCCAACGGGCUGAGAGGGGAGUGGGGGAGGCACAUGAACGCUGGUUACCCAACGGGCUGAGAGGGGAGUGGGGGCACAUGAACACUGGUUACCCAAUGGGCUGAGAGGGGAGUGGGGGGCACAUGAACGCUGGUUACCCAAUGGGCUGAGAGGGGAGUGGGGAGGCACAUGAACGCUGGUUACCCAAUGGGCUGAGAGGGGAGUGGGGGCACAUGAACGCUGGUUACCCAAUGGGCUGAGAGGGGAGUGGGGGGCACAUGAACGCUGGUUACCCAAUGGGCUGAGAGGGGAGUGGGGGCACAUGAACGCUGGUUACCCAAUGGGCUGAGAGGGGAGUGGGGGCACAUGAACGCUGGUUACCCAAUGGGCUGAGAGGGGAGUGGGGGCACAUGAACGCUGGUUACCCAAUGGGCUGAGAGGGGAGUGGGGGCACAUGAACGC